This is a non-coding RNA of Oxyura jamaicensis (ruddy duck), 634 nucleotides long. The record is from the annotation of a RefSeq genome assembly. Lineage: Eukaryota; Metazoa; Chordata; Aves; Anseriformes; Anatidae.
AUGAGUGCGGCUGAGCCCACCGCUCUCUGUCCUUCCUCCCCAGGGCUGCGGGCGGCCGCCACGUUGGACAAGUCCGGAGGGGGCCGUGUGAAGCCCGGAGGGUCCCUGACCCUGGUCUGCAAGGCCUCCGGAUACACCUUCAGCAGCUACUACAUGCUUUGGGUGCGACAGGCACCAGGGAAGGGGCUCGAGUUCGUCGCAGAUAUUAGCAACCUUGGUAGUUUAACAGAGUACUUGCCGGCGGUGCAGGGACGCUUCACCAUCUCCAGGAACAACGGGCAGAGCACGGCCACCCUGCAGAUGAACAGCCUCAAGGCCGAAGACACCGCCACCUACUACUGCUUGGAAGAACCUGCUGGUGGGUGGGGUGAGUUGUGUCAGGACCUGUCCCUGGGCCAUGAACAAUGUCAGCAGCACCACCAAUCUCAUAAGCAUAACCAUAACCACCACCACUACCAUCAGUUUUCGCGCAGUAGUAGGUGGCGGUGUCCUCGGCCUUGAGGCUGUUCAUCUGCAGGGUGAGCGUGCUCUGCCCGUUGUUCCUGGAGAUGGUGAAGCGUCCCUUGACCACUGACGUGUAACCUGUGCUACUACCACUGCUGCUAAUAGUAGCGACCCACUCAAGCCCCUUCUU